Molecule: ribosomal RNA, 1528 nt
Filed under: unidentified
Description: bacterial SSU rRNA
Rfam family: Bacterial small subunit ribosomal RNA
Source: RNAcentral
AGAGUUUGAUCAUGGCUCAGGACGAACGCUGGCGGCGUGCCUAAUACAUGCAAGUCGAGCGAGCGGAACUAACAGAUUUACUUCGGUAAUGACGUUAGGAAAGCGAGCGGCGGAUGGGUGAGUAACACGUGGGGAACCUGCCCCAUAGUCUGGGAUACCACUUGGAAACAGGUGCUAAUACCGGAUAAGAAAGCAGAUCGCAUGAUCAGCUUUUAAAAGGCGGCGUAAGCUGUCGCUAUGGGAUGGCCCCGCGGUGCAUUAGCUAGUUGGUAAGGUAAAGGCUUACCAAGGCGAUGAUGCAUAGCCGAGUUGAGAGACUGAUCGGCCACAUUGGGACUGAGACACGGCCCAAACUCCUACGGGAGGCAGCAGUAGGGAAUCUUCCACAAUGGACGCAAGUCUGAUGGAGCAACGCCGCGUGAGUGAAGAAGGUUUUCGGAUCGUAAAGCUCUGUUGUUGGUGAAGAAGGAUAGAGGUAGUAACUGGCCUUUAUUUGACGGUAAUCAACCAGAAAGUCACGGCUAACUACGUGCCAGCAGCCGCGGUAAUACGUAGGUGGCAAGCGUUGUCCGGAUUUAUUGGGCGUAAAGCGAGCGCAGGCGGAAGAAUAAGUCUGAUGUGAAAGCCCUCGGCUUAACCGAGGAACUGCAUCGGAAACUGUUUUUCUUGAGUGCAGAAGAGGAGAGUGGAACUCCAUGUGUAGCGGUGAAAUGCGUAGAUAUAUGGAAGAACACCAGUGGCGAAGGCGGCUCUCUGGUCUGCAACUGACGCUGAGGCUCGAAAGCAUGGGUAGCGAACAGGAUUAGAUACCCUGGUAGUCCAUGCCGUAAACGAUGAGUGCUAAGUGUUGGGAGGUUUCCGCCUCUCAGUGCUGCAGCUAACGCAUUAAGCACUCCGCCUGGGGAGUACGACCGCAAGGUUGAAACUCAAAGGAAUUGACGGGGGCCCGCACAAGCGGUGGAGCAUGUGGUUUAAUUCGAAGCAACGCGAAGAACCUUACCAGGUCUUGACAUCUAGUGCCAUUUGUAGAGAUACAAAGUUCCCUUCGGGGACGCUAAGACAGGUGGUGCAUGGCUGUCGUCAGCUCGUGUCGUGAGAUGUUGGGUUAAGUCCCGCAACGAGCGCAACCCUUGUUAUUAGUUGCCAGCAUUAAGUUGGGCACUCUAAUGAGACUGCCGGUGACAAACCGGAGGAAGGUGGGGAUGACGUCAAGUCAUCAUGCCCCUUAUGACCUGGGCUACACACGUGCUACAAUGGGCAGUACAACGAGAAGCGAGCCUGCGAAGGCAAGCGAAUCUCUGAAAGCUGUUCUCAGUUCGGACUGCAGUCUGCAACUCGACUGCACGAAGCUGGAAUCGCUAGUAAUCGCGGAUCAGCACGCCGCGGUGAAUACGUUCCCGGGCCUUGUACACACCGCCCGUCACACCAUGGGAGUCUGCAAUGCCCAAAGCCGGUGGCCUAACCUUCGGGAAGGAGCCGUCUAAGGCAGGGCAGAUGACUGGGGUGAAGUCGUAACAAGGUAACCGUA